Long non-coding RNA from Anguilla rostrata (American eel), 313 nucleotides. RefSeq lists it as uncharacterized. The transcript has 3 exons. The record is from RefSeq and is a predicted model, not a curated record. NCBI's taxonomy places the organism in Eukaryota, Metazoa, Chordata, Actinopteri, Anguilliformes, Anguillidae.
UUAUUUAUUUAUUUCCGCAGUAGGAUCCCCGGCUCCGCCGUCCCCCUGGACGCUUUCCGGAACCUUCCGUGUCCCAGGCCGCUCCUGGAAGCGGCGCUCCUCCCACGGCCUGCCUCGGCGGAGCCAGGUGGUGUGCAGCCAUUCCAUUCCAUCCCAUCAAAUAAGCACCGUAGGAAAAGGGCAUUAAAGCUGCAUGAGCCAACAUGGACGAACCACGUUUAGACAAAAACAUUACGGGAUGUGCAUGAAUGCAGGAGGUGUCAAAAGAUACAGUAAUUCCACUGAAAGCUUAACACCGUAUUUAGCUCCUAUG